Long non-coding RNA from Bos taurus (domestic cattle), 1476 nucleotides. The record is from Ensembl. Lineage: Eukaryota; Metazoa; Chordata; Mammalia; Artiodactyla; Bovidae.
GGGUGGCAUAAGAUGAGACUGGUGACCUUGGCAGGACACAGUUUACCGUGGAAUCUCGUACAGUUCAACAGGGGUCUUACAAGCCUGAAACCAAGAACUCGGCUGGCUGGCUCCUCAUCUGGAGGUUCAAUUAGGAAGAGAUCCACUUCCGCUCCCUCGGGUUGAAUAGAAUUCAUUUCCUGCGGUUGUGUGACUGAAGUUCCUGUAGCAGGCUGUGUUUACCUCUCAGCCUCAGUUUUCACGUCUUUAAAAUGGGAGCUAAGAAGAGAACCCAGAAGACCUAGUCCAUGCCUGCAAAUCAUUUAGAAUCUGUAACCUUCAGCAGUCAAUUCGUAUCUAUUACCAUUGCUGUCCACGUCUCUCUCCUCCUCCCUGACGAAAGAACCGAGGCUGAACAAAUGUUUCUCAGAUGGGGCCACCCCACCCCCCUCCACCUCCACCAGCAGGGAGGAGCUGACACAGGAAGAACACAGGAAUGGUUACACGGCUCUGAAGUUCAUCACCUUUUGCUGACCAGUCACAGCAACUCCCUGCAAAGAGGCUGCUUCAUCUCCAGACCUGACUUUGUAUUUCCCGGGUGAUCAUGGGAAAAUCACUGCACAUCUCUGAGCCUCAGUUUGUUCAUCUUCGAUAUGGGAACAUCAGCUCCCGCGCUGCAAGGACUCAGCAAGGAUUCCAUGAGACAGUAUGCAAACUCGCUAGCCCAAGUCUGUGGCUAGGGCUAGCUUUUAGUUUUUGAGUUGGUGUUUUGUUUUCUUAACUGGGGUAUUGUUGCUUUUCAGUGUUGUGUUAAUUUCUGCUGUACAAAGAAGUGAAUCAGCUAUAUGUACACAUAUAUCCCCUCCCUUUCGGACCUUGCUCCCAUCUAAACUGACAUUUCUCCAAAGAAGACAUUUAAGAGGCACAUGAAAAGAUGCUCAACUUCACUAAUUAUUAGAGAAAGGCAGAUCAAAACUACAAUGAGGUAUCACCUCACACCAGUCAGAGUGAGCCAUCAUCAAAAUAUCUACAAACAAGAGCUUUUAGCUUUUGAUUCCAUUUCCGCAAACACAGUCUUGAAACACUGCUUGUCUAGAGCAGCCUAUAGAGACCUUUUCUCACCCGUGUUCCUGUUUAAUUGCAGGCGAGUUUUUGCUCCCCUUAUAACUGAGUCUAGAAGAGAGGAAAUGUUUUGCCCAAGGUCACACAGUGGCUACAGGCAGCUCUGUGGUUUGAAUCCCCAAACCAAACUUUCUGACCCUCAUCUCAGAUUUUCUACCUUGAGUUGUCCCACCUUCUACCCACUGGCUAGUUCUAGAACUUGCAAAUCCACGCAUCUCAAAACUGUUACAUAGCCCUCCAACCCAACCCCAGACAGACUUCUUUAAAACUUAUUUCCACUCAAGCUUCAUACAUCCUACUUUUCUCCUCACUCCCAUCCCUAUCUUGGGGGGAAUCUAACUCUUUGAACUAGGGGUGGGUAGGGGGUAAGAAGAA